This 513-nucleotide ribosomal RNA is filed under the name Alcaligenes faecalis. RNAcentral describes it as "bacterial SSU rRNA". It matches the Rfam family "Bacterial small subunit ribosomal RNA", at positions 67 to 569 of the family's 1533-position model. The record is from RNAcentral. Lineage: Bacteria; Pseudomonadati; Pseudomonadota; Betaproteobacteria; Burkholderiales; Alcaligenaceae.
CGGCAGCACGAGAGAGCUUGCUCUCUUGGUGGCGAGUGGCGGACGGGUGAGUAAUAUAUCGGAACGUGCCCAGUAGCGGGGGAUAACUACUCGAAAGAGUGGCUAAUACCGCAUACGCCCUACGGGGGAAAGGGGGGGAUCGCAAGACCUCUCACUAUUGGAGCGGCCGAUAUCGGAUUAGCUAGUUGGUGGGGUAAAGGCUCACCAAGGCAACGAUCCCUAGCUGGUUUGAGAGGACGAACAGCCACACUGGGACUGAGACACGGCCCAUACUCCUACGGGAGGCAGCAGUGGGGAAUUUUGGACAAUGGGGGAAACCCUGAUCCAACCAUCCCGCGUGUAUGAUGAAGGCCUUCGGGUUGUAAAGUACUUUUGGCAGAGAAGAAAAGGCAUCCCCUAAUACCGGAUGCUGCUGACGGUAUCUGCAGAAUAAGCACCGGCUAACUACGUGCCAGCAGCCGCGGUAAUACGUAAGGUGCAAGCGUUAAUCGGAAUUACUGGGCGUAAAGCGUG